This 253-nucleotide ribosomal RNA is filed under the name uncultured bacterium. RNAcentral describes it as "partial 16S ribosomal RNA". It matches the Rfam family "Bacterial small subunit ribosomal RNA", at positions 524 to 776 of the family's 1533-position model. The record is from RNAcentral.
UACGUAGGGGGCAAGCGUUGUCCGGAUUUAUUGGGCGUAAAGAGCGUGUAGGCGGCCUGAAAGGUCAGCUGUGAAAACUCGAGGCUCAACCUCGAGACGUCGGUUGAAACCAUCUGGCUAGAGUCCGGAAGAGGAGUGUGGAAUUCCCGGUGUAGCGGUGAAAUGCGCAGAUAUCGGGAAGAACACCCGUGGCGAAGGCGGCACUCUGGGGCGGUACUGACGCUGAGACGCUAAAGCGUGGGGAGCGAACAGG